RNAcentral lists this long non-coding RNA (277 nucleotides) under Homo sapiens (human). Its description in RNAcentral is "HSALNT0404751". The record is from RNAcentral. Lineage: Eukaryota; Metazoa; Chordata; Mammalia; Primates; Hominidae.
GUUGGUUGUGGGUUUGUCAUAGAUGGCUUUUAUUACAUUAAGGGAUCAUGGCACAAGUUGCAGUUUCCACCCUGCCCAUGGAAGAUGAGGAGUCCAUGGAAGAUGAGGAGUCUGUUGAAGAUGAUUCCGUGGAGAGCAGGAUGGUGGUGACAUUUCUCAUAUCAGCUCUCGAGUCCACGGAUCAUGGCACAAGUUGCAGUUUCCAUCCUGCCCAUUGAAGAUGAGGAGUCUGUUGAAGAUGAGGAGUCCUUGGAGAGCAGGAUGGUGGUGACAUUCC